Molecule: transfer RNA, 74 nt
Filed under: Danio rerio (zebrafish)
Lineage: Eukaryota; Metazoa; Chordata; Actinopteri; Cypriniformes; Danionidae
Rfam family: tRNA
About the family: Transfer RNA (tRNA) molecules are approximately 80 nucleotides in length. Their secondary structure includes four short double-helical elements and three loops (D, anti-codon, and T loops).
Source: Rfam by way of RNAcentral
GGCGCUGUCGCUUAGUUGGUCAAAGUGCCAGUUUAGUAAACAAGACAUUCUGGGUUCAAAUCCAAGUAGUGCCA